This 408-nucleotide ribosomal RNA is filed under the name uncultured bacterium. RNAcentral describes it as "partial 16S ribosomal RNA". It matches the Rfam family "Bacterial small subunit ribosomal RNA", at positions 28 to 526 of the family's 1533-position model. The record is from RNAcentral.
GACGAACGCUGACGGCGUGCUUAACACAUGCAAGUCGAAGGGAGUGGCGAACGGGCGAGUAACACGUGAGUAACCUGCCCUUUUCUUUGGGAAAAGCCUGGGAAAUUGGGUCUAAUACUGGAUGGUCUGGGUUGGGCCCGCGGCUUAUCAGCUUGUUGGUGGGGUGAUGGCUUCCCAAGGCUUUGACGGGUAGCCGGCCUGAGAGGGUGGUCGGUCACACUGGGACUGAGAUACGGCCCAGACUCCUACGGGAGGCAGCAGUGGGGGAUAUUGCACAAUGGACGAAAGUCUGAUGCAGCGACGUCGUGUGGAGGAUGAAGGCCUUCGGGUUGUAAACUCCUUUCGCCCGCGGAAUGGUAGUGGGUAAAGAAGCGCCGGCUAACUACGUGCCAGCAGCCGCGGUAAUAC